CCUACGGGGGGCAGCAGUGGGGAAUAUUGCACAAUGGGCGAAAGCCUGAUGCAGCAACGCCGCGUGAGCGAUGAAGGCCUUCGGUUCGUAAAGCUCUGUCCUCAAGGAAGAUAAUGACGGUACUUGCGGAGGAAGCCCCGGCUAACUACGUGCCAGCAGCCGCGGUAAUACGUAGGGGGCUAGCGUUAUCCGGAAUUACUGGGCGUAAAGGGGGCGUAGGUGGUUGCCUAAGUCAGAGGUGAAAGGCUACGGCUCAACCGUAGUAAGCCUUUGAAACUGGGGAACUUGAGUGCAGGAGAGGAGAGUGGAAUUCCUAGUGUAGCGGUGAAAUGCGUAGAUAUUAGGAGGAACACCAGUUGCGAAGGCGGCUCUCUGGACUGUAACUGACACUGAGGCACGAAAGCGUGGGGAGCAAACAGGAUUAGAUACCCGAGUAGUC
This 439-nucleotide ribosomal RNA is filed under the name uncultured bacterium. RNAcentral's name for it is "partial 16S ribosomal RNA". It matches the Rfam family "Bacterial small subunit ribosomal RNA", at positions 338 to 795 of the family's 1533-position model. The record is from RNAcentral.